GUCUACGGCCAUACCACCCUGAAUAAACCCAAUCCCGCCUGAUCUCGGAAGCUAAGCAGGGUGGGGCCUGGUUAGUACUUGGAUGGGAGACCACCUAGGAAGAUGAGGGGCUGUAGGCA
Molecule: ribosomal RNA, 119 nt
Filed under: Pteropus alecto (black flying fox)
Lineage: Eukaryota; Metazoa; Chordata; Mammalia; Chiroptera; Pteropodidae
Also listed under: 1 other name
Source: RNAcentral